RNAcentral lists this long non-coding RNA (2276 nucleotides) under Hordeum vulgare. Its description in RNAcentral is "long non-coding RNA (HVUL_LNC017298)". The record is from RNAcentral. Lineage: Eukaryota; Viridiplantae; Streptophyta; Magnoliopsida; Poales; Poaceae.
CGAAAAAGAGGUCCUGCCUUGGAUGCAUUUGGAGGCCCCGUCUCUCUAGCAGGACACAUAUCAAGAAGUGCAGGAAGUGCAAAAAGCACUUUAGAAGGGCCCGAAUUUGAGAUUUGGCAACUCCGGCAAAAGGCUUGUCUUCUCCGACUGCACAUGAACCUAGACGAGGGACAUCUACACCAAUAGGCGAGCGACACAUAUUGGAUCUCCAUUUCGAGCAAGCGCUUGAAAUAAAUUCGGUGAACAUGAAAUUUAAGGGCAACGAUGUUUGCGCAUUGAGGAACCGAAAAUUUUGAAGAUGCAAAUACAAACGAGUUUUGGCGUCAUGCUAUAGAUGAUGAGUUGGGGUCAAUCUUGGACAACAAGGCAUGGGAGCUCUUGAUAUACCCAACGGACAUAAUGGCAUAGAGCUCAAGUGGAUGUGUAAAGUCAAGAAGGAUGCCAAAGGAAACUUGAUGAAGCAUAAACUAAGGCUUGUGACUAAAGCAAGAAUGAUGUUCGGUCAACAUUUUAGUGCAUAGAACAUAUCAUCGUUUUCAUGAACAGAGAUGAGUAGUUUGUAUUUGUAAUGUACCCGUGAAAAAAUUCUCAGAACAUUUUUACGCUCAUAGUAACUUUUCCUGGAAAAUUAAUUCAAACAAAAAAGAAGUGAUUUUACAACUGUACGUGCCCAAAGGCCCUACUAUAUUAUCUUGCACCAGGGACCCUCGUAUAUCCAGGCCGGCCCUGCGAUCAACAUGAGACAGUUUCAAGCUCACAGUCAGUAGAGUUCGGAUCCUAAUUUAACAGAAGCAGAAGCUACCACCCGCUUUGUCUCUAACAGAAUCUAUCAUCUGCCCUCACAAAGAGGGCCAAAUAGCUUGGCACCGUAGUUUGGCGGUUCCUCGUGUCCUCUAUCCCCCAAAUCUUUAUUACAUUGCUCCUGUAUGCUAACUAUUGGAUUAUGUAACUAAAAAUGUGUCAACUAGUAGAGAUUGAUCCUACUACUUGACUAAAGAUGGAAUGGUAUGUUUUAAUAGAGAUGAACAAUGACUAGUAUUCAUAACCAUCCUUGUAGGUAGUAAGAACAUUACUAUUUUUCUGUUAUUUCAUUAAAAAAAUGUACGUAUACACAUUUAUCCUUGUUAUUCCUUCUUUAAUCCAUAAUGGCAUAGUUGAAUAAAUGCAGCUCCUCUGAAGUCUUCAUAUGGGCUCCAUGCCCAUGAUGUAUCGAGGUUCUAUACCUCCACUAGCUGCAAACGAAAGACCAAGGUUAGUAUUUUUGAAGCAGCAAAUAAGCAAAAAAAUUGCGUUCUCAGACAAAGUACAAGACCUUACAAGGCGAUAGCUCACAUGGACUAGGCUGCCCAAAUGCCAGCGAAACCACAUUUGGACCAUCGGUUUCAGAUUAUCUGGACCUAAGCAGACUAGAGUCAAAAGUUGCAGGACCAUGGGUGUGUCUUACUAGUCUUAUUGGUGUCAGCCCCUAUCAUUUUGUCUGCAUAACCACCCUAAGGGCAAAGUGGAAUAUCUUGAGUAUUUAUUUAAGCAUGUUUGCUUGUAGUUACAAGGAUGUGAUAGGCCAUCUCUCUCCAUGUGUCCAUUUGUCUGCUAGAUGACCCGUUGCAUCCUUGGCGCAAAGAACAAUUGCAACCAAGAAGCUAAGCUACCUAUGAACAACAUGUUUUACAAAUGAUCCACAAAAGAGAAAAAACCAAAUGCAACCGAGAAGGUUACUGAACCAUAGUAAGGAUGCUUUUCUUAGUUACCUGCGAAUGAUUAUGUUCAAUUCUACGUAUGUAUCUGUCAUGUAUUUAUUAAUGAUAGAUUAUGAUGAUCACUGCACAUGGGUUUCUCCAUUGGUCUUCAGCCACAUCCAUGCCUUACACUAAUGGAAUAAGGUUCUUCCCCGCCUAGCCCCCAUUCUCAUGUUGCGUCUAGCAUCAUUGGAGGUCGUGUGGAAAUUUGUCUCCUUAGGAUCUCACUAGAUUUGGUCGGCAUUCGUCUUUGAUGGAUCCACUUGGAUCCGGUUUUUGACUUUUCGUUCAUAUGUGUUCUAGUGGUCGCCAGGUGGUCUAUGGAUCUAGAUCUAGUUUCUUACUUCUAGUGUUCAUUAUACUACAUUGAUAGUUUAUGAAUGGAUCUAGAUUUUUCCCUUCAAAAAAGAAAAAUUGUUAUCAAACUGUUACAAAGUAGAUUGUUAUUUAAUAAAGCAUAACACACUUAAUAAUUACAUAUCCCAAUAUGCACACUUAAAAGGUUGUGCACAUUUUGUUCGAAAGGAAAAAAGAUUUGAG